Molecule: long non-coding RNA, 358 nt
Organism: Acipenser ruthenus (sterlet)
Lineage: Eukaryota; Metazoa; Chordata; Actinopteri; Acipenseriformes; Acipenseridae
Exons: 3
Source: RefSeq, a predicted model, not a curated record
CUUGCCUCUUCCCUAGACUCUGCUACACUUUUCAAUAGCAACAGUCCAAGAUGAAUGACGGCAGACAAUGAGGGAACAUUAAAAAGAAAGGCAGCCAUGUGUGAGGUGCAGAAUUCAGAUUUGGACAUCAUGUUGUUAAAAGUUGCUGACAGAACUUGUUAAGAUGACCUUCCAGUCCCACUCUUCACCCCGCUGUGAGGAAACAACAAACCGGUCUUCCUUCGGAAGGUGUGGCUCGACGGUCCGUCUGGCAGACUAGAGAAGAAGAACAACACUGUGUACUUGUUAUCUACCUCCAGGCCACCCAAUCAGGGGCAUGAGCCUCAGACUGCAGGGCCGGUGCUCCGAUAAAGGAACU